UAAAGCAAAAUGAAAAAAUACUUAUGUAUUCUUCGCUUUAAAAAUUCCAAACUAGUGGGAAUUAGUACGGAUAGAUAUUUGAAAUGCAGGUCACGAGACAUAUUUUAACAAAAAUACUGCACUAUCAUUUAAUGAGGAAAAAUGGAGGAAAAGAAUGAACAGAAUCAGCAUUUGAAAUUAUUCUUCAAAACGCCCGCAAAACGUUCAAUGGCAACAUUAAAUUCUUCUAAUUCAGCGUGAGCAAAUGUCACACGGAAGAAAAUCUUAUCGUUGACUCUAGGGUCAACAACGAACCAGUUACCGCAAGCAAGGUUAACGCCUUCUUCAACAGCUUCAGCAUGGAUUUUAGAUUCGAUUUCGGGAAUAGAUUCAUUUUUAUCGGCAUGGAUGUAGCGCGAUUUGUCAACUUCGAACCAAAUAAACAUACCAGCGACAGGAGGGAUAUAAGAGCAGACCGAUUUUGGUAAGUAUGUGUCCAUGGCAUAAAGAAGAUAAUUACGGCGAAGCGUAUAAGAAUACCGAAUAUGCUUCAACCACUCUAGGUAUCCGUCUUGACCCCAAUGCUUGAACAUGGCAUACAGGAUGCCUUGGGAAAUACCAGAAGCACUUUGAGUUGCAGUUUCAGCAGCACGCAAACCACGUUCAAUGAACAACGGUUGAGCAGUGAACCAACCUACACGAGAACCAGGGGCUACAACCUUUGACAGAGAAUCCAUACGGAUGACACGACCGUCGACAUCCAUACUUAAGAAUGAAGGAAUAAGUUCUUUUACAAAUUGCUCGUUGGUAAAAGCUUUAUCAGCAGCUUCUGGUUUUCCUUCAUAAGCGUCCAUUUGUAAGUAAUAGUAAGG
Non-coding RNA from Schizosaccharomyces pombe (fission yeast), 851 nucleotides. NCBI's taxonomy places the organism in Eukaryota, Fungi, Ascomycota, Schizosaccharomycetes, Schizosaccharomycetales, Schizosaccharomycetaceae. The record is from the annotation of a GenBank genome assembly.